RNAcentral lists this unclassified non-coding RNA (654 nucleotides) under Hevea brasiliensis (rubber tree). The record is from RNAcentral. Lineage: Eukaryota; Viridiplantae; Streptophyta; Magnoliopsida; Malpighiales; Euphorbiaceae.
AUGUAGAUACAUUCAACUCAUGUUUCUGACCCUUCCCGAAUGUUGCUUUAAUGUCUGCUGUGCCCAUGUUAGUUUGCCAGGACAGUCUCCGACCGGUAUGGGUACCAAGGUAAUAUGACCUGAACUUCUCACAUAGUGCUGACAUUUCAGCAGGCAAGUUGCAAGUAACAUUAGGCUGAGUUGGCCAAGAUCCUGUUGUCAAAACCUGGACAACCAGUGUAGGUCCAUCUCCUAGCUCAGGAUGGCUUGCAUAAAACCCUUGCAUAGUAUCCUGGGAGGUCUUCAUGUCAGUAAACAUGCCUUCUAAUUUCGAGGUGAAUUGAUAUCCACAUUCAGUCUUGAGUUUGACUAUCAAACUUCUCUCUGCAUCGUCAGAGACAGUUUUUCCUGAUAACAGUCGCUUAGCCAAAUGCUGUUUAUAAUACUUCUCAAAUACAUCCUUCUCCUGCAAGUAGCGGAACAGCAUCAUCACCUUGUCAAGAAUAACCUCCACAUCCUCCUCACUAACUCCCUUUAGACCUUUUCUAAGCUUGUCAUCCACAAACAAUGAAAUGAAUUCAGGAGAGCGAGCAUUCAAAUUAAUAAAAUAUUCAAAAGAGGAAUUCAAAGCAUUCUGGAAUGUCUUGUCAUUGCUGAAUGCCAAACUUAUGAUGC